UGGCUCAGUUGGUAGAGUAUGGUGUUUGCAACGCCAGGGUUGUGGGUUGGAUUCCCAC
RNAcentral lists this transfer RNA (58 nucleotides) under Salmo salar (Atlantic salmon). It matches the Rfam family "tRNA", at positions 8 to 63 of the family's 71-position model. Rfam says of the family: Transfer RNA (tRNA) molecules are approximately 80 nucleotides in length. Their secondary structure includes four short double-helical elements and three loops (D, anti-codon, and T loops). Further hydrogen bonds mediate the characteristic L-shaped molecular structure. tRNAs have two regions of fundamental functional importance: the anti-codon, which is responsible for specific mRNA codon recognition, and the 3' end, to which the tRNAs corresponding amino acid is attached (by aminoacyl-tRNA synthetases). tRNAs cope with the degeneracy of the genetic code in two manners: having more than one tRNA (with a specific anti-codon) for a particular amino acid; and 'wobble' base-pairing, i.e. permitting non-standard base-pairing at the 3rd anti-codon position. Lineage: Eukaryota; Metazoa; Chordata; Actinopteri; Salmoniformes; Salmonidae. The record is from Rfam by way of RNAcentral.